This 451-nucleotide ribosomal RNA is filed under the name uncultured bacterium. RNAcentral describes it as "partial 16S ribosomal RNA". It matches the Rfam family "Bacterial small subunit ribosomal RNA", at positions 30 to 507 of the family's 1533-position model. The record is from RNAcentral.
AGCGAACGUUGGAGGAAGGAAGAACAAAGGCAAGUCGCACGGGGGGGCUUCGGCCUCCCAGUGGCGGACGGGUGAGGAACGCGUAGGGACCUGUCGAGGGGUGGGGGAUAACCGCGGGAAACUGCGGCUAAUACCGCAUGACGCCGCGGCGUGACAGCCGGGGCCAAAGGCGAAAGCCGCCCGCCGAGGGGCCUGCGUCCGAUUAGCUGGUUGGCGGGGUAGCGGCCCACCAAGGCGUCGAUCGGUAGCUGGUCUGAGAGGGUGAUCAGCCACACCGGGACUGAGACACGGCCCGGACUCCUACGGGAGGCAGCAGUGGGGAAUAUUGGACAAUGGGCGCAAGCCUGAUCCAGCAAUGCCGCGUGGGUGAAGAAGGUCUUCGGAUUGUAAAGCCCUUUCGGCGGGGACGAUGGUGACGGUACCCGCAGAAGAAGCCCCGGCUAACCUCGUG